UACGGAGGGUGCGAGCGUUGCUCGGAAUCACUGGGCGUAAAGCGUACGCAGGCGGCUCGCUAAGUCGGGUGUGAAAGCCCGGGGCUCAACCCCGGAAAUGCGCCCGAUACUGGCGAGCUUGAGUACGGGAGAGGGAUAGCGGAAUUCCUGGUGUAGAGGUGAAAUUCGUAGAUAUCAGGAGGAACACAAGUGGCGAAAGCGGCUUCCUGGCCCGAUACUGACGCUCAUGUACGAAAGCGUGGGGAGCAAACAGG
This 254-nucleotide ribosomal RNA is filed under the name uncultured bacterium. RNAcentral describes it as "partial 16S ribosomal RNA". It matches the Rfam family "Bacterial small subunit ribosomal RNA", at positions 524 to 776 of the family's 1533-position model. The record is from RNAcentral.